GGUAAGCAUGACUAAUUCCUGCCAAUUAAGCCAAGCCUCCCAUUUCAUGGAUAGUGGUCAUGCUAGUAUCUAUGGCAUGCAUGAGGUCUAGGGAACUUGAAAGCUACUGACAGCAAGGGGAAAGGCAGUGUGUGGGUAAGGGUGGAUAAUCCUACCCUCUAACCCACCUGUUAACAUGGGUGAAAAGGCACAUUGACACCCAUGGGCAGCACCCUGUCAUUGUCUUCAGAAAGAAAACUGGAUCUGAGGCAGAUGACAAUGGAAGUUAAGAGACAUAGCACAGGUAAGCAUGACUAAUUCCUGCCAAUUAAGCCAAGCCUCCCAUUUCAUGGAUAGUGGUCAUGCUAGUAUCUAUGGCAUGCAUGAGGUCUAGGGAACUUGAAAGCUACUGACAGCAAGGGGAAAGGCAGUGUGUGGGUAAGGGUGGAUAAUCCUACCCUCUAACCCACCUGUUAACAUGGGUGAAAAGGCACAUUGACACCCAUGGGCAGCACCCUGUCAUUGUCUUCAGGACUCCGGGAUACAAGGAAAGAAGGAAGAAAAGGGAUGCCUCUCUUGCCUCUCCCUCACAUACCCUGGGUAUUUGCUGGGAAGAGAAGGGAACUAGGCAUGCCUUGCUCCCCUCUUUCUAGAUGAGUAGCCAUUCA
This 647-nucleotide long non-coding RNA is filed under the name Homo sapiens (human). Its description in RNAcentral is "non-protein coding lnc-MAP3K9-5:2". Lineage: Eukaryota; Metazoa; Chordata; Mammalia; Primates; Hominidae. The record is from RNAcentral.